CUGUUGGCAGAGGGGAGAUAUGGAUCGGAGUUGGAUGUAUGAAAAACGCACUACAUUCAAAUAUAUUCAAGGGGUUCAAGAGUUUAUACAAUAUGCUGAAGAAAAUA
This is a long non-coding RNA of Ipomoea nil (Japanese morning glory), 107 nucleotides long. RefSeq lists it as uncharacterized. The record is from RefSeq and is a predicted model, not a curated record. NCBI's taxonomy places the organism in Eukaryota, Viridiplantae, Streptophyta, Magnoliopsida, Solanales, Convolvulaceae. The transcript is spliced from 3 exons.